UCUACGGGUGGCAGCAGUGGGGAAUAUUGGGCAAUGGGCGCAAGCCUGACCCAGCAACGCCGCGUGAAGGAAGAAGGCUUUCGGGUUGUAAACUUCUUUUCUCAGGGACGAAGCAAGUGACGGUACCUGAGGAAUAAGCCACGGCUAACUACGUGCCAGCAGCCGCGGUAAUACGUAGGUGGCAAGCGUUAUCCGGAUUUACUGGGUGUAAAAGGCGUGUAGGCGGGACUGCAAGUCAGAUGUGAAAACCACGGGCUCAACCUGUGGCCUGCAUUUGAAACUGUAGUUCUUGAGUACUGGAGAGGCAGACGGAAUUCCUAGUGUAGCGGUGAAAUGCGUAGAUAUAGGAGGAACACCAGUGGCGAAGGCGGUCUGCAGGACAGCAACUGACGCUGAGGCGCGAAAGCGUGGGGAGCAAACAGGAUUAGAUACCCGAGUAGUC
RNAcentral lists this ribosomal RNA (442 nucleotides) under uncultured bacterium. RNAcentral describes it as "partial 16S ribosomal RNA". It matches the Rfam family "Bacterial small subunit ribosomal RNA", at positions 338 to 795 of the family's 1533-position model. The record is from RNAcentral.